GUAAUCGUGGCCUACUGGUUAGGGCUUCAGGCUUGUAACCGGAGGGUUGCCGGUUCUGUCCCAGACCAGUUGGA
Molecule: transfer RNA, 74 nt
Filed under: Alosa alosa (allis shad)
Lineage: Eukaryota; Metazoa; Chordata; Actinopteri; Clupeiformes; Clupeidae
Description: tRNA-OTHER
Source: RNAcentral